CGCGUAGGCGGUUCGCUAAGUUGGAUGUGAAAACUCUGGGCUUAACCCAGAGCCUGCAUCCAAAACUGGCGAACUUGAGUACUGGAGGGGAAAGCGGAAUUCCUGGUGUAGCGGUGAAAUGCGUAGAUAUCAGGAGGAACACCGGUGGCGAAGGCGGCUUUCUGGACAGUAACUGACGCUGAGGCGCGAAAGCUAGGGGAGCAAACA
RNAcentral lists this ribosomal RNA (207 nucleotides) under uncultured bacterium. RNAcentral describes it as "partial 16S ribosomal RNA". It matches the Rfam family "Bacterial small subunit ribosomal RNA", at positions 568 to 774 of the family's 1533-position model. The record is from RNAcentral.